This 90-nucleotide transfer RNA is filed under the name Intestinimonas massiliensis (ex Afouda et al. 2020). Its description in RNAcentral is "tRNA-Ser". It matches the Rfam family "tRNA". From Rfam's summary of the family: Transfer RNA (tRNA) molecules are approximately 80 nucleotides in length. Lineage: Bacteria; Bacillati; Bacillota; Clostridia; Eubacteriales. The record is from RNAcentral.
GGAGAGGUCGCAUAGCCUGGACUAGUGCGUCGGUCUCGAAAAUCGAUAGGGCGCAAGCCCUCGUGGGUUCGAAUCCCACCCUCUCCGCCA